RNAcentral lists this ribosomal RNA (254 nucleotides) under uncultured bacterium. RNAcentral describes it as "partial 16S ribosomal RNA". It matches the Rfam family "Bacterial small subunit ribosomal RNA", at positions 524 to 776 of the family's 1533-position model. The record is from RNAcentral.
UACGGGGGGAGCAAGCGUUGUUCGGAUUUACUGGGCGUAAAGGGCGCGUAGGCGGCCAGCACAAGUCAGUUGUGAAAUCUCCGAGCUUAACUCGGAAAGGUCAACUGAUACUGUGCGGCUAGAGUGCGGAAGGGGCAACUGGAAUUCUUGGUGCAGCGGUGAAAUGCGUAGAUAUCAAGAGGAACACCUGCGGCGAAGGCGGGUUGCUGGGCCGACACUGACGCUGAUGCGCGAAAGCCAGGGGAGCGAACGGG